GCAUAAAAUUUCUUAUUUUCCCACCCGGAUGAACAGUAACCCGGACCGACAGCCGGUUACUUCAUCCCAGGUUUGAUCCACUUUCCAAACUCCAGAUUUGAUGAAAUUUUUACCUAACAUUCUACACUCAUAGAGGAUUCCAAAGAGGUAACAUGCAUUGCUAUCGGAGGUCGUUUGACCCCCUAAAUAAUUCGCCGAAGUUGGGACUUCGACACAGUUUUUCCGUAGUGCCGGAAAAAUUUGUCAAAAUCCGAUUCUUCCUCUUUUAACCGCCUCUACAACCCUUAUCCGACCCCUCUAGACUAUAUCCACCCUUUGUAUAGCCUAAUGUCAUCAAAAGACUAGAUAGGGACGGAUAUUUACCUUUUUCUUUUUGGAAAUCGAGGUCCUUAUGUAGAGGGGAUGGAGAUCUACGUUUUUUCCCUUCAGCUGGAAGUGCAACCGGGAUCCCUCUCCUCCUCGAAUCCCCUUCCUCUUCUUCUUUCUUCUUCUUCUUCUUCUCUUUUUUUUU
This 511-nucleotide long non-coding RNA is filed under the name Phoenix dactylifera (date palm). RNAcentral's name for it is "long non-coding RNA (PDAC_LNC009165)". Lineage: Eukaryota; Viridiplantae; Streptophyta; Magnoliopsida; Arecales; Arecaceae. The record is from RNAcentral.